This 319-nucleotide ribosomal RNA is filed under the name uncultured eukaryote. Its description in RNAcentral is "partial 18S ribosomal RNA". It matches the Rfam family "Eukaryotic small subunit ribosomal RNA", at positions 1470 to 1796 of the family's 1831-position model. The record is from RNAcentral.
CCCUUAGAUGUUCUGGGCAGCACGCGCGCUACAAUGGUCUUCGCAAACGGAUGCAUUCUCGAAGGAAAAUGCCAAUCUUGGAAUCUAUGCCUUGGUCGGGACAGUUGCUUGCAAUUUUUCGACUCGAACCAGGAAUUCCUUGUAAUCGUGAUUCAUCACAUCACGAUGAAUACGUCCCUGCCCUUUGUACACACCGCCCGUCGCUCCUACCGAUCGAAGAGUUAGGUGAAUUGUUUUGAUCGAUAAGAUUUGACUAUGGUCAACUCUCGUUGUGAAAUUCUGUGAAUCUGACUGUUUAGAGGAAGGAAAAGUCGUAACA